GUCUGCAGCCAUACCACCCUGAAUGCACCCAGUGUCGUCUCAUCAUGAAAGCAAGCUCAGCAGGGGGGCGCAGCUCGAUGGGAAAUGAGGGGGACGGCCGCAGGCC
Molecule: ribosomal RNA, 106 nt
Organism: Homo sapiens (human)
Lineage: Eukaryota; Metazoa; Chordata; Mammalia; Primates; Hominidae
Source: Ensembl